GAGCAACCUGCCCUGGACUCUGGGAUAAGCGCUGGAAACGGUGUCUAAUACUGGAUAUGAGCUCUCAUCGCAUGGUGGGGGUUGGAAAGAUUUUUUGGUCUGGGAUGGGCUCGCGGCCUAUCAGCUUGUUGGUGAGGUAAUGGCUUACCAAGGCGUCGACGGGUAGCCGGCCUGAGAGGGUGACCGGCCACACUGGGACUGAGACACGGCCCAGACUCCUACGGGAGGCAGCAGUGGGGAAUAUUGCACAAUGGGCGGAAGCCUGAUGCAGCAACGCCGCGUGAGGGAUGACGGCCUUCGGGUUGUAAACCUCUUUUAGCAGGGAAGAAGCGUGAGUGACGGUACCUGCAGAAAAAGCGCCGGCUAACUACGUGCCAGCAGCCGCGGUAAUACGUAGGGCGCAAGCGUUAUCCGGAAUUAUUGGGCGUAAAGAGCUCGUAGGCGGUUUGUCGCGUCUGCUGUGAAAUCCCGAGGCUCAACCUCGGGUCUGCAGUGGGUACGGGCAGACUAGAGUGCGGUAGGGGAGAUUGGAAUUCCUGGUGUAGCGGUGGAAUGCGCAGAUAUCAGGAGGAACACCGAUGGCGAAGGCAGAUCUCUGGGCCGUAACUGACGCUGAGGAGCGAAAGGGUGGGGAGCAAACAGGCUUAGAUACCCUGGUAGUCCACCCCGUAAACGUUGGGAACUAGUUGUGGGGACCAUUCCACGGUUUCCGUGACGCAGCUAACGCAUUAAGUUCCCCGCCUGGGGAGUACGGCCGCAAGGCUAAAACUCAAAGGAAUUGACGGGGACCCGCACAAGCGGCGGAGCAUGCGGAUUAAUUCGAUGCAACGCGAAGAACCUUACCAAGGCUUGACAUACACCAGAACACCGUAGAAAUACGGGACUCUUUGGACACUGGUGAACAGGUGGUGCAUGGUUGUCGUCAGCUCGUGUCGUGAGAUGUUGGGUUAAGUCCCGCAACGAGCGCAACCCUCGUUCUAUGUUGCCAGCACGUUAUGGUGGGAACUCAUGGGAUACUGCCGGGGUCAACUCGGAGGAAGGUGGGGAUGACGUCAAAUCAUCAUGCCCCUUAUGUCUUGGGCUUCACGCAUGCUACAAUGGCCGGUACAAAGGGCUGCAAUACCGUGAGGUGGAGCGAAUCCCAAAAAGCCGGUCCCAGUUCGGAUUGAGGUCUGCAACUCGACCUCAUGAAGUCGGAGUCGCUAGUAAUCGCAGAUCAGCAACGCUGCGGUGAAUACGUUCCCGGGUCUUGUACACACC
RNAcentral lists this ribosomal RNA (1260 nucleotides) under Microbacterium proteolyticum. RNAcentral describes it as "bacterial SSU rRNA". It matches the Rfam family "Bacterial small subunit ribosomal RNA", at positions 119 to 1391 of the family's 1533-position model. The record is from RNAcentral. Lineage: Bacteria; Bacillati; Actinomycetota; Actinomycetes; Micrococcales; Microbacteriaceae.